CAUGCAGUAUAGGAAACUACUGAGAUGUUUCAGAAUUCUUAGUAAGGCGUGAAUAAUCCUGAAGGUGUCUUCGGAGUUCGAGAAAAAUAUUUUCUUUUAGUAAGAGCAGCCCUCAUGUAACGAAUCCCCGGUCUGCCUUGUCCUAUUCCACCCUCACAACAGCCUCACAAAUCUCAAUGUUUACCCCAUUUUACAGAUAAGGAAAAUGGGGUUCAAUAGCCCGCCUGGCAGAGCCCUAGAAAUCAGUGCAGUUACGCAUCCAAUUCAGAAGAUCCUUUCUUAAAAACCCAGACUGUUUGAAGUAGUAGCCCCCUUCUGGGAUUUUGCUUUCCUCCAUUUCAGUUACCUGUGGUCAACCUCCUUCUGGAAUAGAUGACCUUCCUUUUGAGAUACAGGCAGAAAGUCAGUAGCUUCUUCUCAAGGCACACCUCAUUCUCCUCAUAUCUCAUCAGACUUACCAUCCUACUUAGGAAUUUGAGUACGAUGUUGAAUACGAGCGAGGAUAGCGCAGAUUAGAGUUUUACUUCAUCUCAAAGGACUCAUGCUUACUACAAUGGGCCAUAUGGAAGAACGAGGAUUCUGCACUCAGAGUACCUAGUGCAGGCAGCUUCAGGUCUCCAUAAAAGACUGGUCUCAUUCAAGGACUUGGAUCAGACAGCAGAGUAUGGAUUCUAUUGCCAAUGCCUGGCGGACAAGCCCAGAUCAGGCCUUAAAGUGGGAGGCAGGGUAGCACUCUUCAGAAGGACGGAGAAUAUAUUAGGGCUUAAACUCACAAGCUGAAGAGGGAUUUGCCUGCCCCACCCACUGAGCCACCAGGACCCCAUUGUUAAUGUCUCCUUAUGCACCUGCAGAAGUACUUGUUUAAGGAAACAUGG
Neogale vison (American mink) is the source of this 875-nucleotide long non-coding RNA. RefSeq lists it as uncharacterized. Lineage: Eukaryota; Metazoa; Chordata; Mammalia; Carnivora; Mustelidae. The record is from RefSeq and is a predicted model, not a curated record. The transcript is spliced from 5 exons.